CAGUCGCCGCGGUAAUACGAAGGGGGCUAGCGUUGUUCGGAUUUACUGGGCGUAAAGGGCGCGUAGGCGGACUGAUAAGUCAGGGGUGAAAUCCCAAGGCUCAACCUUGGAACUGCCUUUGAUACUGUUUGUCUUGAGUUCGAGAGAGGUAAGUGGAACUGCGAGUGUAGAGGUGAAAUUCGUAGAUAUUCGCAAGAACACCAGUGGCGAAGGCGGCUUACUGGCUCGAAACUGACGCUGAGGCGCGAAAGCGUGGGGAGCAAACAGGAUUAGAUACCCCGGUAGUCCCUGUCUCUUAUAC
Molecule: ribosomal RNA, 301 nt
Filed under: uncultured bacterium
Lineage: Bacteria
Description: partial 16S ribosomal RNA
Rfam family: Bacterial small subunit ribosomal RNA
Source: RNAcentral